AGACCCGAAACCCGGUGAUCUAGCCAUGGGCAGGUUGAAGGUUGGGUAACACUAACUGGAGGACCGAACCGACUAAUGUUGAAAAAUUAGCGGAUGACCUGUGGCUGGGGGUGAAAGGCCAAUCAAACCGGGAGAUAGCUGGUUCUCCCCGAAAGCUAUUUAGGUAGCGCCUCGUGAAUUCAUCUCCGGGGGUAGAGCACUGUUUCGGCUAGGGGGCCAUCCCGGCUUACCAACCCGAUGCAAACUGCGAAUACCGGAGAAUGUUAUCACGGGAGACACACGGCGGGUGCUAACGUCCGUCGUGAAGAGGGAAACAACCCAGACCGCCAGCUAAGGUCCCAAAGUCAUAGUUAAGUGGGAAACGAUGUGGGAAGGCCCAGACAGCCAGGAUGUUGGCUUAGAAGCAGCCAUCAUUUAAAGAAAGCGUAAUAGCUCACUGGUCGAGUCGGCCUGCGCGGAAGAUGUAACGGGGCUAAACUAUGCACCGAAGCUGCGGCAGCGACACUAUG
Molecule: ribosomal RNA, 509 nt
Filed under: Salmonella enterica
Lineage: Bacteria; Pseudomonadati; Pseudomonadota; Gammaproteobacteria; Enterobacterales; Enterobacteriaceae
Description: partial 23S ribosomal RNA
Rfam family: Bacterial large subunit ribosomal RNA
Source: RNAcentral